ACCCGCUGAACUUAAGCAUAUCAAUAAGCGGAGGAAAAGAAACCAACAGGGAUUGCCCUAGUAACGGCGAGUGAAGCGGCAACAGCUCAAAUUUGAAAUCUGGCGCGAGCCCGAGUUGUAAUUUGUAGAGGAUGCUUCUGGGCAGCGGCCGGUCUAAGUUCCUUGGAACAGGACGUCACAGAGGGUGAGAAUCCCGUAUGUGAUCGGUUGGCACCCGCUACGUAGCUCCUUCGACGAGUCGAGUUGUUUGGGAAUGCAGCUCUAAAUGGGAGGUAAAUGCCUUCUAAAGCUAAAUACCGGCCAGAGACCGAUAGCGCACAAGUAGAGUGAUCGAAAGAUGAAAAGCACUUUGGAAAGAGAGUUAAAAAGCACGUGAAAUUGUUGAAAGGGAAGCGCAUGCAACCAGACUUGUCCGCGGUGUUCCGCCGGUCUUCUGACCGGUCUACUCGCCGCGGGCAGGCCAGCAUCAUCUGGGAGCGCCGGAUAAAGGUAGCGGGAAUGUGGCCCCUCGGGGUGUUAUAGCUCGCUACACAAUACGGCGCCUCCCGGGUGAGGUCCGCGCUUCGGCUAGGAUGCUGGCGUAAUGGUUGUAUGCGGCCCGUCUUGAAACACGGACCAAGGAGUCUACCAUCUAUGCGAGUGUUCGGGUGUCAAACCCCUACGCGCAAUGAAAGUGAACGGAGGUGGGAACCGCAAGGUGCACCAUCGACCGAUCCUGAUGUCUUCGGAUGGAUUUGAGUAAGAGCAUAGCUGGUGGGACCCGAAAGAUGGUGAACUAUGCCUGAAUAGGGUGAAGCCAGAGGAAACUCUGGUGGAGGCUCGCAGCGGUUCUGACGUGCAAAUCGAUCGUCAAAUUUGGGUAUAGGGGCGAAAGACUAAUCGAACCAUCUAGUAGCUGGUUCCUGCCGAAGUUUCCCUCAGG
This 922-nucleotide ribosomal RNA is filed under the name Neocatenulostroma microsporum. Its description in RNAcentral is "LSU rRNA". It matches the Rfam family "Eukaryotic large subunit ribosomal RNA", at positions 23 to 977 of the family's 3401-position model. The record is from RNAcentral. Lineage: Eukaryota; Fungi; Ascomycota; Dothideomycetes; Mycosphaerellales; Teratosphaeriaceae.